ACCCAUCUGAAGAGUUCAAAAUAGGACGAAACUCACAUUCUGGAU
Molecule: non-coding RNA, 45 nt
Filed under: Schistosoma margrebowiei
Lineage: Eukaryota; Metazoa; Platyhelminthes; Trematoda; Strigeidida; Schistosomatidae
Source: RNAcentral